RNAcentral lists this ribosomal RNA (1410 nucleotides) under Streptococcus thermophilus. RNAcentral's name for it is "bacterial SSU rRNA". It matches the Rfam family "Bacterial small subunit ribosomal RNA". The record is from RNAcentral. Lineage: Bacteria; Bacillati; Bacillota; Bacilli; Lactobacillales; Streptococcaceae.
GCAGUAGAACGCUGAAGAGAGGAGCUUGCUCUUCUUGGAUGAGUUGCGAACGGGUGAGUAACGCGUAGGUAACCUGCCUUGUAGCGGGGGAUAACUAUUGGAAACGAUAGCUAAUACCGCAUAACAAUGGAUGACACAUGUCAUUUAUUUGAAAGGGGCAAUUGCUCCACUACAAGAUGGACCUGCGUUGUAUUAGCUAGUAGGUGAGGUAAUGGCUCACCUAGGCGACGAUACAUAGCCGACCUGAGAGGGUGAUCGGCCACACUGGGACUGAGACACGGCCCAGACUCCUACGGGAGGCAGCAGUAGGGAAUCUUCGGCAAUGGGGGCAACCCUGACCGAGCAACGCCGCGUGAGUGAAGAAGGUUUUCGGAUCGUAAAGCUCUGUUGUAAGUCAAGAACGGGUGUGAGAGUGGAAAGUUCACACUGUGACGGUAGCUUACCAGAAAGGGACGGCUAACUACGUGCCAGCAGCCGCGGUAAUACGUAGGUCCCGAGCGUUGUCCGGAUUUAUUGGGCGUAAAGCGAGCGCAGGCGGUUUGAUAAGUCUGAAGUUAAAGGCUGUGGCUCAACCAUAGUUCGCUUUGGAAACUGUCAAACUUGAGUGCAGAAGGGGAGAGUGGAAUUCCAUGUGUAGCGGUGAAAUGCGUAGAUAUAUGGAGGAACACCGGUGGCGAAAGCGGCUCUCUGGUCUGUAACUGACGCUGAGGCUCGAAAGCGUGGGGAGCGAACAGGAUUAGAUACCCUGGUAGUCCACGCCGUAAACGAUGAGUGCUAGGUGUUGGAUCCUUUCCGGGAUUCAGUGCCGCAGCUAACGCAUUAAGCACUCCGCCUGGGGAGUACGACCGCAAGGUUGAAACUCAAAGGAAUUGACGGGGGCCCGCACAAGCGGUGGAGCAUGUGGUUUAAUUCGAAGCAACGCGAAGAACCUUACCAGGUCUUGACAUCCCGAUGCUAUUUCUAGAGAUAGAAAGUUACUUCGGUACAUCGGUGACAGGUGGUGCAUGGUUGUCGUCAGCUCGUGUCGUGAGAUGUUGGGUUAAGUCCCGCAACGAGCGCAACCCCUAUUGUUAGUUGCCAUCAUUCAGUUGGGCACUCUAGCGAGACUGCCGGUAAUAAACCGGAGGAAGGUGGGGAUGACGUCAAAUCAUCAUGCCCCUUAUGACCUGGGCUACACACGUGCUACAAUGGUUGGUACAACGAGUUGCGAGUCGGUGACGGCGAGCUAAUCUCUUAAAGCCAAUCUCAGUUCGGAUUGUAGGCUGCAACUCGCCUACAUGAAGUCGGAAUCGCUAGUAAUCGCGGAUCAGCACGCCGCGGUGAAUACGUUCCCGGGCCUUGUACACACCGACCGUCACACCACGAGAGUUUGUAACACCCGAAGUCGGUGAGGUAACCUUUGGAGCCAGC